AAUAGUUGAAAUUACUUUCUUGGUUUCAGUGUUGUUUUUUUUAAGGUUAUUCAUUAAAAAGUGCAAAACCUAUUUAAAGAAUGCAAUUUAUCUCAGUGAUGAAUAUGGAAUAUAGUUAACGUUCUAUUGAUUAGUAUAUAUGUAUAAUAUAAUGUAUAAUGAGGAUAAUUAGUGAGAGAUAUUGUUGUGAGAAUAAUUCUAUAUAUAGAUUAGGGACAUAAAAACUCUUUUUGGGUUUUUGAAUCAUAGCAUUUAGAAAUUAUUAUUAGUGAAAUUAUUGUUUAAUCAACAAAGCCAUAGAAAUUAAUGCAGAAAAAGAAGGACAGUAUUGGAUCAGUGAUUACCACUGAUGGUGUUUGUGUCAUAUACGAUGAAUACGUGUCUGGAACUCUGAGGUCCAACAUGAAGGAAAUCUAGGUCCUUACCUCUCUUUGAUUGACCCUUUAAACUGAUGUCAGAAAUGUACAAGGAAAAAUAAUAUGAUAAUUUGGAAUGGACAAUAAAUGGAUCCCAUGUAUUUUGUUCUGUGUCUUUGACGAAAGGAUAAUAAUGGAACAUUAUAAGGAACAGUCAGUUCUUACUGUGAGUCAGUUUCAACUUUGACAUUUGAUUUCUGAAGGAAAAAAUUAAUGUAAUUUAAUAAAUACCUGAAUGACUAUAUAAAUGAAUGGGGUAAUCUAUGGAUCAGUGAAUAGGAUGUCUGAAUUUUUUUAUCGUCUGCCCUGCUCUGCUCUUUAUUCCUCAGAAUGGAUGCACUCAAGCUUCUUUAAGCAUGUUCCAUGGUCAUGAUCUUUAUGUUUGCACCUGUGUGUUAGGAGCAUGGAGACCAAUGUGAGUAAUAGUCGAAGUUCUCAUGUUGGUUUGAGUGGUUCAAAGAAGGCCAAUCAUACCAAUGUUUAAUAUCAGAUUGAUAUGAAGCAUUGCAUUGAUUAACCCAUAAAGAAACAGACACUGAGUUCAGUUAAUGAAAAGGAUAGAGACUCUUUGUAAAUGAUGCUAUUGGUGAAUAUUAGGGAUAUUGAAGGAUCUUGUUUUUUUUUUAUGUGUAUUUCUUCAUGAAUAAAUUAACCAAUAAAGAAAUGUAGAUGAGAAUGGACAGAAAGAAGGCCAAUCAGGGGCCAGUGAUGACGACUGGUGGUGAAGAAUGUCAGCGUGGAGCUCUGAGGGCCAACACAGACAGACUCUAGUCCAUUCCCCAGAUUUUAAAUGAUACUAUAGACAGAUUUCAGGAUUAUAUAGUGAUCUUGUUCUUGGUCUUUGUGUUCAUGAAUUUUAAAUAUAUGAUUAUAAAAGAACCAACGGCAGAAUAAAUUAGCAAAUGUAUAAAUGAAUAAAGAUGAAGAGGGUGUAGCAUUGUUCAUUACUGAAAUACGUAGUCAGGAGAAUGAAUAUUGAUAGACACUGGAAUGAUACUAAAGGGACCGGGUGUGUUAAGUAUUGGACUAAGGAUGAUAUGGACAGUGAGAGGGAGUAGUCAGUUAUUGCCCUGACUCAGUUACAAGUUUUAAGUUUAUUUCGUAAAGAGAAAAACCGAUUUUAUCUUAAAUUUAUAAAUACUUAAAUGACUGUGUAAAUGGGGUAUGGAAAUUAUAGAUCAAUGGAGAGAGCGUCUCAAUCUUUUUAACAUCUUUUCUGUGUGAUACUCUAAAAACAACGCACCCAGCUGAUUUAAGCCUUGUUCCAUGAUCAAAAUCGUUAUGUUGCCUCUGUUUCAGAAAGACACCAAGGUUAGUAAUAGUCAAGGUUCUUGUCUUGGUUUCAGUCAUUUGCUUAAGGUAUUCAUGGUAAUAUUAAAAAGUAUUAAGUAUAAUACACAAGUUAUCUAUGGCCAUUGGUUAAUACGGUAAGAAGCAUGAUAUUAAUUAAUUGAUAACGUGCAACAUUGAAGUCACUUAAUGAAAAAGAUACAGUGUAUUAGGAAAGAUUCCUAUCCAGGGGUGUUAGGGAUUUUCAAGGAUCUUGUUCUCGCAUUUUUGUGACUCACGUAUAUUUUAGUAUUAUUAGUGAAUUAGUGAUUUACUUGAUGCAAAUUUAGAAAUGAAUGAAGAAGAAGAGGGCCUCACAUAGACCAGUGGUGACUACUGGUGGCAUAUAAGUCAUAGACAUGAAUAAUAUGUGUCUGGAAGUCUGAGGUCCAACACAAACCAUAAGUAGCCUGUUUUUUCUGUUGGAAAUGAUCCUAUAGACAGAAAUCAGAAAUGUACAAAGCUCAUAUUUUUACUUUGGAUUCAUAAAUAUAGAUUUAUUAAUACUAAUGGAUCAGUGAUAGAAUAAUUAAACAAAUAAAAAUAAACAGGUAAAGAGGAGGAUUAGGCGUUGACCAACUAUGAACAUAUGAGAGGAGGCAAAAAAUAUCAUUAAUGAAAGUUUAAAACACCGAUGCCCGUGAAGGUAUAAAUGGAUCAAGAAUUGUACCUCUUUGGUUUAGGAUCAUAUAGACUCUGAUAAGUAAAAGUCAAUUUUAUUGUACUGGAUCAGUUGCAAGUUUCAGGCUGUCCUUUUGUUAAGAGAAAAAAAUAUAUACAUAAUGAAAAAUGAUUAAAUACCUAAAGGCUUGAGUAAAUGAAAUGCAGAAAGCGAGAAUCGUAGAGGAUAUGGUCUCAAUUUUUGAAAAUCAUUUGCUCUGUGUUGUACUGCUUAGAGUGGACGCAAUCGAUGAUUUAAGCAUCUUCCAUGGUCACGAGCUCUCUGUUUACAUCUAUUUGUUAGAAGGACAGAGACCACGUGAGUAAUAGUCAAAGUUCUUUUCUUGGAUUGGGUGGUUUGUUUAAGGCUAUUCAGUAUACUGUUAACAUUGUAAAAUAUAAUCAAAGAUAGCCAAUUGUGAUAAAAAUGGGAUUGGUGUGAAGCAUCGUUUAUAAUGUGCAUCUCUGAAAAUCUGAGGAUAAUUAAUGAAAUAAAUAUAUUGAUGUUAGAAUAAUUUUGUGUGUAGAAUCGGAAUAUUAAGCCUCCUCUUGGGUUUUUGUGUAUCAUGGCAUUUAAAAUUAUUAUUAAUCAAUAAACAAUGAAGAAACAAAUGGGGAAACAGAGGGCCAAUCGUGAUCAAUGAUGAUGAUUUGGUGGUGCAUGAGUCACAUACAAUGAAUACUAUGUGUCUGGAACUCUUGAGGUCCAACACAAGAGGACUCUAGUCCAUUCACUUUAUUUUAAGUGAUACUGUAGACAGAUUUCAGUUUUACAUAGUGAUCUUUUUCUUGGUCUUUCUGUUUAUGAAUUUUAAACAUGAUUAUAAAAUAACGAAUGGCAGAAUAAAUUAGGAAAUGUAUAAAUGAAUAAAGAUGAAGAGGGUGAAGCAUUGUUCAUUAGUAAAAUGUGUAGUCAGGAAAAUGAAUAUUAAUAUACACUGGAAUGGAUAAUAAAUGGACCGAGUGUAUUAAGUAUUGGACUAAGGAUGAUAUGGACAGUGAUAGGGAGUAGUCAGUUAUCGCCCUGAGUCAGUUACAAGUUUGAUGUUUAUUACAUUGAGAUAAACAUUUAUUACCAUAAAUUAAGAAGUGACAGAAAAUAAAUAUUACCAUAAAUUAAUAAACACUUAAAUGACUAUGAACGUGAAGGAUGUGGAUCAACGGAGUUAAUGUCUCAAUCUUUUGAUCAUUAUGCCUGCUUGGCACUCUUCAUAAUGGAGGCGGGUAGCUGAUUUUAGCUUCUGCCCUGAUCAAGAUUGUCGCCUCUGUCAGGAGCGAGAAUAAGAAUGGACACACUGGAGCUGAUGUAAGCAUCUUCCAAGUCAGGAACUCUCUGGUUGUGUCUGUGAGUUAGGAGCAUGGAGACUAAUAAUGGAUACACUGGAGCUGACUGAAGCAUCUUCUAUGGUCUUGAGCUCGUGGUCACAUCUAUUUGUUAGGAGGCUGGAGACCCGUAAUGGGCACACUUGAGCUGAUUCAAGCGUCUUCCAUAAUAACGAUCAUUUUGUUUACAUCUAUGCGUUAUGAGCAUGGAGACCAAUGUGUGAAUUAAGAAAGUGAGGGCCAAGGCUGGAUCAGUGAUGACCACUGGUGGCGUAUGAGUCACGGACGAUGACUACCACAUGUCUGGAACUCUGAGGUCCAAUACGUGGGCACCGCUGCACUGAUCUUAGCGUUCGCCAUGGCUUCCAACUUGGUGGUUGUCUUAGGAGCAUGGAGACCAGUAAUGGGUCCUCAUGGUCGAAGGUCUUGUCUGGUGCGUGUCUGGGCAGGAAGCCUAUAGAGCUAUAAUGAACACCCUCGAACGCACGAUCGUUCUUUAGUGAUCAGACCUUUAUGGUUCAAUGAUGGAUGCUCCAUACCUAAUUAAAUUAUUGUCCAAUCAGGAAGAUCUUUGCCUUAUCCCUCUGGGCAGGGAGCAUAUCAUGCUAUAAUGGCUGCCCCUUGGCUGUUUCAAUCAUUAUUUAAUGAUGAAGAUCUUGACUGUUAUCUGUGUGGCCAAGGAGAAUAUAGAUCAGGCGAGUGGGCCUGCUUCUUGCCUUGCCAAGCAAACUGAGUCCCUCCUGGGUCUAGCUGUGGGACUCUGGGGUGGAUGUGAAGCACCUCUGGCUGUACAGCUCCAGCUUCGUCAGUGAGAUGAGGAUAACGAUGCCUAUCUGGCUGGAUUGUGGUGAGAAUUAAACUUGCCUAACAAGAGCUUAUUGUAAGGCCCUUACGUGACACAAUACAUAUCAUGUACAUAGUAUGGUACCUGGGAAGGAAUAGAUGCCUCAAAAAUUACCCAAAGUAGCUGUAAUUGAUGGUUUCAAUUGCAUUUAUUUAAAAGCUCCCGAAUGGAUGUGAUACCCAAAUUCCUCUGUUCCAGAAGAAUGGAGAGUUCAACUAAGUUCUGGAAGAAUGCCAGUUUUGAUGGGACAGGCCAGCCUAGACCACGCACCUUUAAGGCAGCAUAACCUCCCCUUCUACCAGGGACAGACAACGAGAAAACCCCUCCUUCAUGAGGAUUUGAUUUCAGCUCAAACCAUUGGCCUUUCUACUUCAGACUGAAUCAGGUCCUUCUGCAUGGAGCCUGGAGCCGUGAGGCGUGGUUGCUCCAGGACAAGGCUUCCUGAAGACACCUCUGAUGGGUGGAGCCCUGGCUUCGCUGGGUGAGUUAUGCUUCUCCUGGUCACACUCUCAAUGGCGUGUGUGCCUGUGACUAAGUCUAGAUGACGUAAAGACUACAGACAAUCAAAGAUGGGCUGGAGCGUGGGUGAAGGCCUCACAGGGGCCUGAGUGCGGGCACUGCCCACCUGGAGCAUUGGCAGGCAGAGGCCAGGCCAUUUCUGGCAGCUGCUUCUCUGAGUGGAGGGCAGGGCUAGCCAGAGAAGUCACUUGAAAGUUGCCCAAGGUGUCACUAGUGAAAGGGCAAGCUCAGCACGGGCUCGACCCCGGAUAGUUGACCCUUGUCUCUGGUCCCACCCAAGCGGCUCGCAGCUGACCCAUCACUAGCGUCCUUUUUGGCAGCUUGGGUUGGGGCUCAGGGUUACCUUCUCACCUCUGCUCCAAGUGAGUCCGUUAAUUUAUGCAGAUAAUUACAGUCUGUUAACUCAUUACCGUAAUGGACAAUGUGAUAAGUGGAAGCCAUCUGAGUUUUUCCUGUAAAAGACCCUAAACUAAUAACUAAAAUUUAUUGCACGUAAUAGUUCUAAAAAGGAAUAUUUUUCUUCAUUAAAAAGGAAAUACAUGUUUAUUGUAAAAGUUUGUAAAAUGCUGAAAAGAACAAAAGGAAGAAUAGGAUUGACCCUAGUCCCACCACUCGAGGAUGACCACUGCCAACAUUUGGUGACCAACCUCUGGUUUUUUGUUUUCUUCUAUAAUCACAUAAAUGUCUGUGUGUGUGUGUGUGUGUGUGUGUGUAUACACAUAUGUAUGUUUUUUAAUGGGCUCAUCAUUAUCAUCCUAAUUUUUUCACCUAAUUACAUAUCUUGAAUGUUUUCACAUGUCAUUAAGUAAUUUCCUAUCUUGUGAUGUUUUAAUGGUUAUAUAGUAUCCUAGCAAAUGACUACAUCAUAAUUGAUUUAAUUGGUCCACUCUUAACCAGGUGUUUAGAUAAUUUUAAAAGUUGGAUUGUGUGAAUUGGGGUGAGCAUCUUUGUUUAUUCAUCUUCACAUGUGUCUCUGAUGUGUCUCCUGCAGUUUCUUUCUAAAAGUGGAAUGGCCAUGUCAAAGGCUGUGAGCAUUUUUACGGCCAAGUUGUUCUCCUUAACCUUUCCACCACCUUGCUUUCUCAGAAUUAGUUUAAGAAGUGCCUUUUUCUCUGGGAAUUAUCAAGGUUUUUAACAUUUGCCAAUUUGUCAAAGCAUGGCAUUUCAUUCUUUUCAUUUCAGUUGUUAUUACCCGUGAUAAGAGCAUUUCCUUCAUAUCUUUAUUGGUUCUUUGCAUCUGAAUUGCCAGUUCAGAUUCUUUGCAUUAUCCAUUUAGUUUUAUUUUUGUCAAAGUCAUGCAGAUACAUCAUUUUAAGAGUCAAAUAGUUCUACGAGGUUAGUGCCGAAGCCUCGGUCCUCAGCCCUGCUCCUCCGUCCCGUGACCCGCUCCACUGAACCGACAGCUUUGAACUCUUGGAACUGAUUCUCUUGACAUUUACAUCCAUUUUUCUAAGUAACAUCUUAGUUUUCUACGUCUCAGUUUUGUUCUAGCGUAAGGCAUUGUCUUGACUUCUCAUCCAUAGAAGAUGAGGAUUUAACUCUGUCACAUAUGCCCUUGGCCUCCCCACACACAAGCAGACCUCUGUGCCGCAUCCUCUCAAUAUAUUUAGCUCGUAGCUUUAGUUUGAUCAGUAUUCAGUGUUCACGUUACUAUAACAGUGUAAACACGCUUGACGCCUGACCAACAGCACUAUGAUUCUUUACCUCUCCUUCCCAACUUUCUGUUUGCUCUGGAGUUAAUAAUUACCUUGUGUUUUGUUUGUUUCUUUUUUCAUUCUUUCUUUGAUUGAUUUGUUAGUUUCUAAUGAAAUUUUCACAGAUUUCUCCCAAACCUCUCAACACAUUCAAACACAUUAGUGUUUUCUUUUUUUUUAAUGUGUUUAAUCUUUUUGAAAAAAUCUCUUCCUGGAGCCUUCUUGCCUGUUUUCUUCUGGAUUGGUUGAUCUUUGGGUUUCCUGUCCUCAUCUUGGGAUCCUCCCUCAUUCUUUUCCCGAGGAUUCCCUUGACCCUCUCCUUGGUUGGAUCUCGAAUUCUGUAAAACCUGUGUAAGCUUUUUUGGUUUACUCCGCUGUUUUGCUAGAGUGCAUCCUCUAGUAGUUUCCUAAGGGGUUCGUGGGAGGUAAAUUCUUGGAGAUCUUUCACAUCUGAAGAGGAAAACGUGUCCACACUGAUGGUGAUAGUUUGGCUGGUAUAGAAUUCUGUUUGGUAAUCGUUUUUCCCCUCAGAUUUCGAAAGUGUGAGUAAUUGUCUUCUCACUUCUAGUGCUGUUGAUGAGCAGUCUGAAGUCUCUGUGAUUCCUCAUCCCUUGUCUGUGCUCUUUUUCCUCCCCUUCCAGAACUUGUAGGAUUUUCUCAUUGUCUUCUAGUGUUUUAAAUUUCAUGUGCAUGGUUCUUGAUAUGGAUCUCCGUUCAUCCAUUUUACCAGGCCCUUUUGAUCUGAAAACUUGUGUCCUUCAGUUUUGGACAUUUUUUUUGCACAGUUGCUUGGCUAACGUCCUUUCACCUAUUUUCUCUUUCUGGAACUUAGAUUGUUUGUGUGUUGGAUCUCUCUGGUUCUUUAAUAUUCCCAUAAUUUUCCUCUGAUUUUCAACUCUUCAUUUCUUCUCUUCCUGAGCGAUAUCUGUCUUCAUUGACUUUUAACCUAUUUUCAUUUCUGCAAUCUCUAAUUUUCAAGGUUUUUAUUAUAUUUUAAAUGUUAUUUUAUAGUGUUUUAUUCAUGGAUGCAGUUGCUUCUUAUAUCCCUGAUAAUAUUAGGUUUUCUGAAAUUUUCUGUUUUUUUAUGGAGUCUGCAAGGUUUUUUUUUUUCUCCCAAGUGUGUGUAUGUCUCUAACUUCUAUGUUGCUUUUCUUAACUCUCUGGUGAUAUAGGUAGAUAUGGAGAUAGAUGAUGGAGAUAGGGCUAUGGAGGAUUUGGGUGCAUAUAGUACACACAGACAAGCACACUCACGAGCUGUUGGGAAGCUCUUGUAUGGCCUUGCGAGCUCUGGCUUUACUGUAGAGUGAGCUGGCUGGACUUACUAUUGUGGAACCCCAGGUUUUAGCAUUUUUAAAUCUUUUUCUUUUGGAUAGCUCAGAUGCUCGCUUUAAAGAAGGUUUUUCACUUUCUGGUGUGGAGUAUUUUCUGCUGCUGGUGCUCUGGAGGUUUGUGGAGGAAGACCAGGUGGUCUCAAUGUCCAGCUUGUAAAACUUUGCCAUCUUCAUCCUUUUAAUUUAAAACUCUUGCCCUCAGCCCUGCCUGCAUCUCUGCUGCAGUCACCUCUGCUCCACUGUCUCCAUGUAAUACACCUUCAGUCUUCUCUCAGAGUUGGGGAACGCUCUGGCCAAUGGGUGAGGAUCUGGGGAGCUGCCUUCUUAAAGACACUUUCAGCCAAUUCAUCCUAUUUAGACCCAGAUUUUCCUGCCACAUCAAAGUACCUGUCACUUCCUGAGACUUCUGUGGAUUCCAUGGAAUACACCGGACUUUAUUUCAGCUUUCCUUGCUGCUGGUUUAGGAUUCCUAGCUCUGAAUCACGCCUCUCUUCUUGUCUUUGUUCCUCUGUACUUAGACCCAAAAUGAAAAUCUCUUCACUCUCAGCACAGUGUCAAGAGGGCGAGCAGGUGCACAACUGAUCUCAAUUUCCCACAUUCAUUUAAACUGGAAGUCAUUUAACCAUUUCUCUUUAUUGAUAUGUUCAUCUUUUAUUUUCAUUUGGUAAGACCUUUUAAAAUAAGAAUAGUAACUCUUUUUCUCUCAUAUAUUACCAAUUUCCCCCCACUUUUCAUUUGCCAUUCCAUUUGUUUGUGGAGCUUUUAAUUUUUUUAUUUAAAAAAGCUUUAUGUUCUAAAAUCGAUCGCUAAUUUUUAAUAGAGUUUCUUCUUGGUUAGAACGUCCUUUUCUACUCUGAGCUCAUAUGGUCACUUUUUUUUUCCCCAGUUCUUUCCUGAUUUUAUCUUUUAUAUUUGAACCUUUAAUCCAUUAACUUAAUUAUUGUGACAAAUAACUGUCUGUCCCAUUUCCACAUUUAGUACAUGCUAGAUACUUAUAUGCUUUUGUUUCUUGUUGUGCCUUUCUAUAUUCCAUUAAUCUGUCUAUUCUUACCCCUGUGCUGCUUUGUUUUAACAUAUUGAAUUGUUACAAUGUGUAUUAUUGUUUAGUAGCAGUUGUCUUCCUCCCUUCUUACUUUUCAACAUUUUCUUGAUUAGUCUCACUUGUUUAUUCUUCCUGAUGAAUUUUAGCGCUAUUGUGAAUUUUAAAACAUUCUUUAUAAAUUUUCUGUGGAAUUUUUUAAAAUGGUAAAUUAAAGGGAACUGAUGUUUUUUGAUAUUUGGACUUUGCCUGAUAUUUUGCAGUUUAAUAUACAUAUUCACAAUUUGUCAAAUUUGACAAAUUCGCAGUUUGUCAUUAAGCUUAUUUCAAGAAAUUUAAGUAUUGCUUUGAUUGUGAAUUUAUUCCCUUUUCUUAUAUUUUCCAACUGGUUAUUACUGGUAUGUAGGGGGAGGGAUUAUAUAUUUACUGUUAUGGGCUGCCUCGUUGAAU
Molecule: non-coding RNA, 9605 nt
Organism: Equus caballus (horse)
Lineage: Eukaryota; Metazoa; Chordata; Mammalia; Perissodactyla; Equidae
Source: RefSeq, a predicted model, not a curated record